This 258-nucleotide ribosomal RNA is filed under the name uncultured bacterium. RNAcentral describes it as "partial 16S ribosomal RNA". It matches the Rfam family "Bacterial small subunit ribosomal RNA", at positions 96 to 354 of the family's 1533-position model. The record is from RNAcentral.
UGGCGGACGGGUGAGUAACGCGUGGGGAACCUGCCCUGUACAGGGGGAUAACACUUAGAAAUAGGUGCUAAUACCGCAUAAGCGCACAGUAUCGCAUGAUACAGUGUGAAAAACUCCGGUGGUACAGGAUGGACCCGCGUCUGGUUAGCUGGUUGGCGGGGUAACGGCCCACCAAGGCGACGAUCAGUAGCCGGCCUGAGAGGGCGGACGGCCACAUUGGGACUGAGACACGGCCCAGACUCCUACGGAAGGCAGCAG